This 400-nucleotide unclassified non-coding RNA is filed under the name uncultured fungus. Its description in RNAcentral is "sequence contains ITS1". The stretch from base 1 to 104 matches the Rfam family "5.8S ribosomal RNA", at positions 50 to 154 of the family's 154-position model. Lineage: Eukaryota; Fungi. The record is from RNAcentral.
GAAAUGCGAUACUUGGUGUGAAUUGCAGAAUUCCGCGAAUCAUCGAGUCUUUGAACGCAAGUUGCGCCCGAGGCUUGACCGAGGGCAUUUCCGCUAGAGCGUCACCGCGCCCCCCCACCAAUCCGCUCCCAGCGAGUCGGGUCGAGUGAAAGUGGCCGUCCCAGUCGUUCUAAGGCUGGGUUGGCUGAAAUGGAGGGAAUUUGGCCGCCGUGGUGACACAGUCCGCGAUCGGGUGAUCCGAGCUCUUCAUCGAGCCCGGAAUUUUUCUAAGUGCGUGGCUGCGUCCCCCAGUUGGUUGUUACCCCAUGCAGGUCCCGCGCCCCCUUGGCGCUCCUUCGGGAGCGCGAAGCGGCGUGCGUCACGCAUCAGACCUCUAAUCGGAAAAGACUACCCGCUGAGU